CGGGGAGUAGCGCAGUCUGGUAGCGCACCUGCCUUGGGCGCAGGGGGCCGUCGGUUCAAAUCCGAUCUCCCCGACCA
RNAcentral lists this transfer RNA (77 nucleotides) under Deltaproteobacteria bacterium. RNAcentral describes it as "tRNA-Pro". It matches the Rfam family "tRNA". From Rfam's summary of the family: Transfer RNA (tRNA) molecules are approximately 80 nucleotides in length. Their secondary structure includes four short double-helical elements and three loops (D, anti-codon, and T loops). The record is from RNAcentral. Lineage: Bacteria; Pseudomonadati; Myxococcota; Myxococcia.